RNAcentral lists this ribosomal RNA (889 nucleotides) under Triticum aestivum (bread wheat). Its description in RNAcentral is "partial small subunit ribosomal RNA". The record is from RNAcentral. Lineage: Eukaryota; Viridiplantae; Streptophyta; Magnoliopsida; Poales; Poaceae.
AAAAAAAAGAAAAAAACGCCCUCUUUCUAAGUAAACUCAUCCCACUAGAUCUCCGGCCCGAUAUUCUUUUAAGCCUCCGGUCGGCGCUUACGUAACGGAAAAGGAGCUCAAAUCGAGUCCUUCUUUGGAGGAACCAAGGUCGAUCCCCUUAGCUACUACCUGCCUUGCCCCUGCAUCGCCUACUAGUGAUGGUGGCCAUGUACCUUCUACACCUCUAGUAAGUAUCAAACCCACAGUUGAGGAUGUCUAAGAGUUAAAGUACCCGCUCUUAGGAUGGUUCUCCGGCCGAACCUCCGCAAUUAAGUCGACCUCAUCGCAAGAUGCUGGCGGACUAACUACGUGAGCACGUGUUUCCCUAUCUCGGUAAACACUGUGACGUAGUGAAACUAGACGGCGUGCUUUACCUCUGGGCUAUGCCGCCAACCGACCCGCGGCUUUAGGCCCUCCUCAAACUGAUGAUGCGGCUGCACACGAAGUUCCGCAAACCACUGGCCCACUUCAAGACCCGUUGCAAGUUGCUCGGGUUGGACAAGUGGUCCGAACGUAUGCACGACCCGUUCAUGGGAGGCCGUGCGACGAGGUGCGGCAAGCCCUGUACGUUCUCGCCCUUGAGAGUAGCCCUUGGGAUGCAGCGCCGAGUAUUGUACGACAACAGUGUACGUCGGCGGCAGGUGUUGAUGUUCUUCUUAAUAGUCCGUUGCGUUCCGCCUAGCUAGCCAUAGCACUAACGCUACUUUACCAUACUCGGCGACUGCUUAUGGUGCCUCCUAUAGGACCGACGCGCUGCACGGAACAGAAAACUCCAUCUAACCAAAAACCUCGGCUAUAAGAAACCACUAAUAGGGUCUCUUUACGUACUCAACAAUAGUAGGUUGAAUGGUUUCAAGUG